RNAcentral lists this ribosomal RNA (465 nucleotides) under uncultured bacterium. RNAcentral's name for it is "partial 16S ribosomal RNA". It matches the Rfam family "Bacterial small subunit ribosomal RNA", at positions 28 to 507 of the family's 1533-position model. The record is from RNAcentral.
GACGAACGCUGGCGGCGUGCUUAACACAUGCAAGUCGAACGGAAAGGCCCCUUUGGGGGUACUCGAGUGGCGAACGGGUGAGUAACACGUGAGUAACCUGCCCUUGACUUCGGGAUAACUUCAGGAAACUGGGGCUAAUACCGGAUAGGAAUCCUUGCUGCAUGGUGGGGGUUGGAAAGCUUCGGGGGUUUUGGAUGGACUCGCGGCUUAUCAGCUUGUUGGUGGGGUAGUGGCUUACCAAGGCUUUGACGGGUAGCCGGCCUGAGAGGGCGACCGGCCACAUUGGGACUGAGAUACGGCCCAGACUCCUACGGGAGGCAGCAGUGGGGAAUAUUGCACAAUGGGCGGAAGCCUGAUGCAGCAACGCCGCGUGCGGGAUGACGGCCUUCGGGUUGGAAACCGCUUUCAGCAGGGGCGAAGCUUGUGGUGACGGUACCUGCAGAAGAAGCACCGGCUAACUACGUG